ACCUACUGUUUAAUUUUGAGGGUUCGUUUUUACGAAUACUCAAAAUUAGCACUUUAAGCAACGGGAUUUAUCCGUUGGCACUGUGCUUUAGCACUUUGAAAACUGCAUAUAUAUUUAGUGAUAUGACAUCUAAUUUGUAAUAUAUAAAGCUGAUAACUUUUUAAAAUUAUCGAAGUUGAUAGCUUCUAAUCUAUCAAACCUUUUUAACUGGUCAA
Molecule: unclassified non-coding RNA, 215 nt
Filed under: Clostridioides difficile
Lineage: Bacteria; Bacillati; Bacillota; Clostridia; Peptostreptococcales; Peptostreptococcaceae
Description: 16S-23S ribosomal RNA intergenic spacer (ISR)
Source: RNAcentral